This 253-nucleotide ribosomal RNA is filed under the name uncultured bacterium. Its description in RNAcentral is "partial 16S ribosomal RNA". It matches the Rfam family "Bacterial small subunit ribosomal RNA", at positions 524 to 776 of the family's 1533-position model. The record is from RNAcentral.
UACGGGGGGGGCAAGCGUUGUUCGGAAUUACUGGGCGUAAAGGGCUCGUAGGCGGCCAACUAAGUCAGACGUGAAAUCCCUCGGCUUAACCUGGGAACUGCGUCGGAUACUGGAUGGCUUGAAUUCGGGAGAGGGAUGCAGAAUUCCAGGUGUAGCGGUGAAAUGCGUAGAUAUCUGGAGGAAUACCGGUGGCGAAGGCGGCAUCCUGGACCGACAUUGACGCUGAUGAGCGAAAGCUAGGGGAGCAAACGGG